RNAcentral lists this signal recognition particle RNA (242 nucleotides) under Chelydra serpentina (North American snapping turtle). RNAcentral's name for it is "Metazoan signal recognition particle RNA (ENSCSRG00000010742.1)". It matches the Rfam family "Metazoan signal recognition particle RNA", at positions 56 to 299 of the family's 299-position model. From Rfam's summary of the family: The signal recognition particle (SRP) is a universally conserved ribonucleoprotein. It is involved in the co-translational targeting of proteins to membranes. The record is from Rfam by way of RNAcentral. Lineage: Eukaryota; Metazoa; Chordata; Testudines; Chelydridae.
GAUCGCUUGAGCUCAGGAGUUCUGGGCUGCAGCGGGCUGUGCCGAGCGGGUGUCCGCACUGGUUCGGCAUCGAUAUGGGGAUCCCGGGGAAGCUCGGGGUCACCAGGUUGCCUAAGGAGGGGUGAACCGGCCCAGGUCGGAAACGGAGCAGGUCAAAGCUCCCGUGCCGAUCAGUAGUGGGAUCGCGCCUGUGAAUGGCCCCUGCAGCGUAGCCUGGGCGAGAUAGCGAGACCCGGUCUCUU